UGGCGGCGUGCCUAAUACAUGCAAGUCGAGCGGACAGAUGGGAGCUUGCUCCCUGAUGUUAGCGGCGGACGGGUGAGUAACACGUGGGUAACCUGCCUGUAAGACUGGGAUAACUCCGGGAAACCGGGGCUAAUACCGGAUGCUUGUUUGAACCGCAUGGUUCAAACAUAAAAGGUGGCUUCGGCUACCACUUACAGAUGGACCCGCGGCGCAUUAGCUAGUUGGUGAGGUAAUGGCUCACCAAGGCAACGAUGCGUAGCCGACCUGAGAGGGUGAUCGGCCACACUGGGACUGAGACACGGCCCAGACUCCUACGGGAGGCAGCAGUAGGGAAUCUUCCGCAAUGGACGAAAGUCUGACGGAGCAACGCCGCGUGAGUGAUGAAGGUUUUCGGAUCGUAAAGCUCUGUUGUUAGGGAAGAACAAGUACCGUUCGAAUAGGGCGGUACCUUGACGGUACCUAACCAGAAAGCCACGGCUAACUACGUGCCAGCAGCCGCGGUAAUACGUAGGUGGCAAGCGUUGUCCGGAAUUAUUGGGCGUAAAGGGCUCGCAGGCGGUUCCUUAAGUCUGAUGUGAAAGCCCCCGGCUCAACCGGGGAGGGUCAUUGGAAACUGGGGAACUUGAGUGCAGAAGAGGAGAGUGGAAUUCCACGUGUAGCGGUGAAAUGCGUAGAGAUGUGGAGGAACACCAGUGGCGAAGGCGACUCUCUGGUCUGUAACUGACGCUGAGGAGCGAAAGCGUGGGGAGCGAACAGGAUUAGAUACCCUGGUAGUCCACGCCGUAAACGAUGAGUGCUAAGUGUUAGGGGGUUUCCGCCCCUUAGUGCUGCAGCUAACGCAUUAAGCACUCCGCCUGGGGAGUACGGUCGCAAGACUGAUACUCAAAGGAAUUGACGGGGGCCCGCACAACCGCUGGAGCAUGUGGUUUAUUUCGAAGCAACGCGAAGAACCUUACCAGGUCUUGACAUCCUCUGACAAUCUAGAGAUAGGACGUCGCCUUCGGGGGCAGAGUGACACGUGCUGCAUGAGUGUCGUCUGCUCUGUCAUGAGAUGUUGUGUUAAGUCCCGCAACCACCGCAACCCUUGAUCUUAGUUGCCAGCAUUCAAUU
This 1110-nucleotide ribosomal RNA is filed under the name Bacillus sp. (in: firmicutes). RNAcentral describes it as "bacterial SSU rRNA". It matches the Rfam family "Bacterial small subunit ribosomal RNA", at positions 37 to 1130 of the family's 1533-position model. The record is from RNAcentral. Lineage: Bacteria; Bacillati; Bacillota; Bacilli; Caryophanales; Bacillaceae.